AGCGAACGCUGGCGGCAGGCCUAACACAUGCAAGUCGAACGAACUCUUCGGAGUUAGUGGCGGACGGGUGAGUAACACGUGGGAACGUGCCUUUAGGUUCGGAAUAACUCAGGGAAACUUGUGCUAAUACCGAAUGUGCCCUUCGGGGGAAAGAUUUAUCGCCUUUAGAGCGGCCCGCGUCUGAUUAGCUAGUUGGUGAGGUAAAGGCUCACCAAGGCGACGAUCAGUAGCUGGUCUGAGAGGAUGAUCAGCCACAUUGGGACUGAGACACGGCCCAAACUCCUACGGGAAGCAGCAGUGGGGAAUCUUGCGCAAUGGGCGCAAGCCUGACGCAGCCAUGCCGCGUGAAUGAUGAAGGUCUUAGGAUUGUAAAAUUCUUUCACCGGGGACGAUAAUGACGGUACCCGGAGAAGAAGCCCCGGCUAACUUCGUG
Molecule: ribosomal RNA, 433 nt
Filed under: uncultured bacterium
Lineage: Bacteria
Description: partial 16S ribosomal RNA
Rfam family: Bacterial small subunit ribosomal RNA
Source: RNAcentral